Molecule: long non-coding RNA, 1194 nt
Organism: Humulus lupulus (European hop)
Lineage: Eukaryota; Viridiplantae; Streptophyta; Magnoliopsida; Rosales; Cannabaceae
Exons: 3
Source: RefSeq, a predicted model, not a curated record
UGUUGUAUGACUCUAAAUUAUCCCAUAAUUUAAUUAUUAAUUUACACAUACUAUGGGCCUUAAUAGACCUUUGUACUCUUUUUCAGCUGUUUCACAGGAAUUUUCCCGACUAAAUCUUCAUCGCCUUCCACUCUCUCUAAAGCUUUAUGUUUCAGCAGCUUCAUGAGGCCUUACCUUUGUUGUAUUUUCAAAAGUAAGUUUUGUUUUCAAAUUGGGACAUAGCUUUAGGCAGACAGUUGAUCAGUUUACAGAGGCAUUUCCAAUAAUUCCAUAUUCAAGUCUCUCCUCUCUCCCUCUACUGAUCGAUCACCUUCAUCAAGCUUCUUUCUCUUUUCUAUAUAUGUAUGAACUUUGAUUGCUAAGGAAUCAUCGUAAUCUUCAAAAUUCAUCAUUUGAAAUGGUCUCUCAAGUGAUGAGUGAAGACAAUAGCACAAGACAUGGAUGCUUGCAAUAAAUAAAGAAAAACUCUGGAUUGAUGUUACCUUUUGUAUUGGACCAGUUGGACAUCUUGUUUCUUCUUUUCUUUUCUUUUUUUUUUUUCAAAUUUUUUCAUAAUUUUAUUUCUAGGUUUUUGAUAAAUUUAUUGUUUUUUGUGGUUGUACAGAAUGUCAAAGGGAACACAAUCAAUUUACAGGACGUGGUGUUUUGUGGUCUAAUUGAUUUUUCUUAUAAUUAAUAGAUGUUCAAUAAAUAAAGAGUUUAUAUUUUUUUGGAUUCUGUGUUUUGUCUCAUUAUUUGUUUGGACCCUGUGUUUUAACAAAUUACUUUUUGGAAUCUAUAUUUUGUAAAAUGGUUGAGUUUAUACAUUUUUGGACCCUGUGUUUUAACAAAUUAUUUUUUGGACCUUUUUGGACCCUAUCUUAUAAUCCGAUUUUGGUUAAUGAUUUAUCAACUAAAAUUAUAAAUAAUUUAUCAAACUAACAAUUUAGAACAAAAAUAAAAUCAUUCUGCUUAAAAACUGUGUUGUUAUAUUUAAUUUUUUUUUUAUCAAAAUUGAGUUUAGGGUUUUAUUUUAACCAUUUUACAAAACAUGGGGUCCAAAAAAUAAUUUAUCAAAACACAAGGUCCAAAUAGGUAAUGGGACAAAACUCAGGAUCCAAAAAAAUUUAAACCCGUAAAUAAAAUUAUGUUUAUAUGGAGAACCGAAUUUGAACUUUUAAGUUUUACUCUUUUUGCUUGAUAAUAACCCAAUAA